RNAcentral lists this ribosomal RNA (241 nucleotides) under uncultured Actinomycetales bacterium. Its description in RNAcentral is "partial 16S ribosomal RNA". It matches the Rfam family "Bacterial small subunit ribosomal RNA", at positions 89 to 334 of the family's 1533-position model. Lineage: Bacteria; Bacillati; Actinomycetota; Actinomycetes; Actinomycetales. The record is from RNAcentral.
CGUCGAGUGGCGAACGGGUGAGUAACACGUGGGUGAUCUGCCCUGCACUUCGGGAUAAGCUUGGGAAACUGGGUCUAAUACCGGAUAGGAGCCAUCUUUAGUGUGGUGGUUGGAAAGUUUUUCGGUGUAGGAUGAGCUCGCGGCCUAUCAGCUUGUUGGUGGGGUAAUGGCCUACCAAGGCGGCGACGGGUAGCCGGCCUGAGAGGGUGUACGGCCACAUUGGGACUGAGAUACGGCCCAG